UUUUGAUUCGUCUAGUGGUUAAGAUACCUGCUUGUCAUUCUGUUAAUAGUCUGUUAUGAUAAAAUACGCAGGUGGCCGGGGUUCAAUUCCCCGAUCGAGAC
Molecule: non-coding RNA, 101 nt
Organism: Daldinia grandis
Lineage: Eukaryota; Fungi; Ascomycota; Sordariomycetes; Xylariales; Hypoxylaceae
Source: the annotation of a GenBank genome assembly